RNAcentral lists this transfer RNA (77 nucleotides) under Patescibacteria group bacterium. RNAcentral describes it as "tRNA-Val". It matches the Rfam family "tRNA". Rfam says of the family: Transfer RNA (tRNA) molecules are approximately 80 nucleotides in length. Their secondary structure includes four short double-helical elements and three loops (D, anti-codon, and T loops). The record is from RNAcentral. RNAcentral also lists the same sequence under 1 other name.
GGGUGGCUAGCUCAGUUGGCUAGAGCGUUCGAUUCACAUUCGAAAGGUCAGAGGUUCAAAUCCCCUGCCACCCACCA